Molecule: ribosomal RNA, 253 nt
Filed under: uncultured bacterium
Lineage: Bacteria
Description: partial 16S ribosomal RNA
Rfam family: Bacterial small subunit ribosomal RNA
Source: RNAcentral
UACGAAGGGGGCUAGCGUUGUUCGGAAUUACUGGGCGUAAAGGGCGCGUAGGCGGCUGUGCAAGUCAGGUGUGAAAGCCCUGGGCUCAACCCAGGAUGUGCACUUGAUACUGCGCGGCUAGAGUGUCGGAGAGGAUGGUGGAAUUCCACGUGUAGCGGUGAAAUGCGUAGAUAUGUGGAGGAACACCGAUGGCGAAGGCAGCCUUCUGGGCCAACACUGACGCUCAUGCACGAAAGCGUGGGGAGCAAACAGG